Bufo gargarizans (Asiatic toad) is the source of this 773-nucleotide long non-coding RNA. RefSeq lists it as uncharacterized. NCBI's taxonomy places the organism in Eukaryota, Metazoa, Chordata, Amphibia, Anura, Bufonidae. The record is from RefSeq and is a predicted model, not a curated record. The transcript is spliced from 3 exons.
AUCACAUGUUCAUGACAUCAUCAUCACAGGUCAUUUACCUCUUCCGGCAACACAGCCUGGAGCCUGACUCCACACAUAAUCACCUUGGUGACGUAAUCGCAGUCUGAGAUAGGUUGUGGUGAAAGUUUCCUACAAUAUAGGGUCCGAAGAUCAUUCUCCUGAUUGACCCAUCAAGGAUGGAUAGGGAUGGGGACAAGAUGGCAGAGAGUAUAAUAAAUCUCACCCUAGAGAUCCUCCUCCGGCUUACUGGAGAGGAAUACACAGUAGUGAAGAAGACCUCUAGUGAGCAUUGUCAGGCCCCGGUAUCUGAAGGACGGGGAGGAAUCCUGAGCCCAACAUCUAGGCCGACACCUCACUUCCCGAUACAUGAGAAAGUCAACAGAGAGAAGAUCCUAGAGCUCACCAACAAGAUUAUUGAGCUGCUGACUGGAGAGGUGACAUCGCUGGGAAUGCCGGGUCAUUAUACAGUAACGCUAUGAAGGGAUAUGGGUGAUGACUGUAUCAUUGAGUUCCAAUGAAGAAAAAAGUCGGCACUCCUUGCGAUGUAAUCGUUGAUAUUUUAUUCGCCCAUGAGUGGCGAAUAAAAUAUUCACGAUUACAUCGCAAGGAGUGCCGGCUUUUUCCUUCAUUGAAGUACCUGGGGCGACGCCUGCGGACCGUGCACCCACCAUUCACGCAGUGCCGCCCGAUCUACAUAAAAUGUAUCAUUGUGUUGUCAGGUUCCUAUAAGGUGUCAGGAUGUCGCCGUCUAUUUCUCCAUGGAGGAGUCUGAG